This 334-nucleotide ribosomal RNA is filed under the name uncultured eukaryote. RNAcentral describes it as "partial 18S ribosomal RNA". It matches the Rfam family "Eukaryotic small subunit ribosomal RNA", at positions 1470 to 1796 of the family's 1831-position model. The record is from RNAcentral.
CCCUUAGAUGUCCGGGGCCGCACGCGCGCUACACUGAAGGAAUCAUCGUGGCUUUCUCCCUGACCCGAAAGGGUUGGGAAACCCGUUGAAUCUCCUUCGUGAUAGGGAUUGGGGCUUGAAAUUGUUCCCCAUGAACGAGGAAUUCCCAGUAAGCGCGAGUCAUAAGCUCGCGUUGAUUACGUCCCUGCCCUUUGUACACACCGCCCGUCGCUACUACCGAUUGAACGGUUUAGUGAGGGCCUCGGAUUGGUCUCGGCCCGCUCUUUACCGGGCGGCGCCGUUGGUCGAGAAGACGCUCGAACUUGAUCGUUUAGAGGAAGUAAAAGUCGUAACA